GAGGGUAUCGCUCAGUGGUAGAGUGGACACCUAGCAUGCAUGAGGUCCUAGGUUCAAUCCCCAGUACCUCCA
This 72-nucleotide transfer RNA is filed under the name Camelus bactrianus (Bactrian camel). It matches the Rfam family "tRNA". From Rfam's summary of the family: Transfer RNA (tRNA) molecules are approximately 80 nucleotides in length. Lineage: Eukaryota; Metazoa; Chordata; Mammalia; Artiodactyla; Camelidae. RNAcentral also lists the same sequence under 1 other name. The record is from Rfam by way of RNAcentral.